UACGUAGGGGGCAAGCGUUGUCCGGAUUUAUUGGGCGUAAAGAGCUCGUAGGCGGCUUGGCAAGUCGGGUGUGAAAACUUCAGGCUCAACCUGGAGCGGCCACUCGAUACUGCUAUGGCUUGAGUCCGGUAGGGGACCACGGAAUUCCUGGUGUAGCGGUGAAAUGCGCAGAUAUCAGGAGGAACACCAGUGGCGAAGGCGGUGGUCUGGGCCGCAACUGACGCUGAGGAGCGAAAGCAUGGGGAGCGAACAGG
This 254-nucleotide ribosomal RNA is filed under the name uncultured bacterium. RNAcentral's name for it is "partial 16S ribosomal RNA". It matches the Rfam family "Bacterial small subunit ribosomal RNA", at positions 524 to 776 of the family's 1533-position model. The record is from RNAcentral.